UGUUACACAAAAACAGUGAAUGGUUGAAUCAAGUGAGUUGUGUUCAGACUGUGGUAAAACUACAGUAAGUUUAACUCCCAUCUUGAUGUUUUCUACGGAGACAUUGAAUGACAAACACAUCUGUGUUGUGGACCAAAAAAAAGCAAGCCACUCCUAAACAGAACCUCUGAUCACCACUAUUGCUGUGGUAAAAAACAGUAUCACAGCACAACUCAAAGCUGCUGUAACGUAAAAGGAAGUCUUGGUGAGUUACAAGAACCAAACACAUUGUGUUUAUUAUUGUCCAUAAUUGUUUUUGCUGCUUCGCACCAGAUUCCAGAGAGAUUGUGACCUCUGAACUCAUUUAACCAGACAUUAUGUACAAACGUGUCACAGUGUCGUGAGUUUAAAUAGUAACAUUAACAUUAGUUACAGUAGCAAUAUGUUCAGAUUGAGGUAGAAGUGAGUUUAACUCCCAUCCUGAUCUUUUCCACAGUGAUAUUAAAUGACAACGGACAUCUGUGUUGUGGACCAAAAGAUAACAAGACAGUCCUCAACAGAGCCUCUGAUCACCACUAUUGCUGUGGUAAAGAACAGUAUGACAACAGAAAUCAAAGAUGCUGUCACGUUAAAGGAAGUCUUGGUGAGUUACAAGCAUAUUGUAUUUAUUGUUGUCCAUAAUUAAUUAAUGCCACAAUUAAACACUGAUGUCUAUACCAAAACCUGAUCUUAAUUUACUGACAUGAGCAUUUAAACUCAAAAAUUCAAACAGUGAAGUUCAGCUUUUGGGUUUAGAGGAGAUUUAACUGUGUUUAAUGAAGUCUUAGAACCAGAUUCUAGAGACAGAGUGCGACCUUUGAACUCAAGUAAACAGACCUUAUGUACAAACGUGUCACAAUUUCGUCAGCUUAAAUAGUAACAUUAACAUUAGGUAGCAACAUGUUCAGACUGAGGUAGAAGUGAGUUUAACUCCCAUCCUGAUCUUUUCUACAGAAAUACUGAAUAACAGCAAACAGCUGUGUUGUGGACCAGAUUAUGACAAGACCGUCCUGACCAGAACCUCUGAUCACCACUAUUGCUGUGGUAAAGAACAGUAUGACAACAGAAAUCAAAGUUGCUGUCACGUUGAAGGAAGUCUUGUGACACUGAAUAACAGCGAACAGCUGUGUUGUGGACCAGAUUAUGACAAGACCGUCCUGGACAGAACCUCCAUCUACCACUAUUGCUGUGGUAAAGAACAGUAUGACCACACAACUCACAGCUGCUGUAACGUUGAAGGAAGUCUUGGUGAGUUACAAGAACCGAACAUAAUGUGUUUAUUAUUGUCCAUAAUUGUUUUGCUGCUUGGCACCAGAUUCCUGAGACAGAGUGUGACCUCUGAACUCAUGUAA
This 1370-nucleotide long non-coding RNA is filed under the name Betta splendens (Siamese fighting fish). Its description in RNAcentral is "lncRNA (ENSBSLG00000007096.1)". The record is from RNAcentral. Lineage: Eukaryota; Metazoa; Chordata; Actinopteri; Anabantiformes; Osphronemidae.